UUUUGUACCUGGCACCACGAUCAAGAAGUUAAUUUCCUCAGGAUGAGGCACUUCCACUGCACUUUUCAUUUGGGUAGAUCCCUAUGCUUUCCCCAAAUUUGGGAAUCUUAACUGAAUAACUUAUAGUAGUGUGGGACUGCAUUUGUGCAGUUCCCUU
Protopterus annectens (West African lungfish) is the source of this 157-nucleotide small nuclear RNA. RefSeq annotates it as U1 spliceosomal RNA. The record is from RefSeq and is a predicted model, not a curated record. NCBI's taxonomy places the organism in Eukaryota, Metazoa, Chordata, Ceratodontiformes, Protopteridae. The transcript has a single exon.